GAACGCAUAUUGCGCCCUCUGGUAUUCCGGAGGGCAUGCCUGUCCGAGCGUCAUUACUACCUUCAAGCACGGCUUGGUUGUUGAGUCAAUUGUCCUUUAAUGGACAGGCUUGAAAUGCAGUGGCGAUGCUGAGUCCUGGUGCUCGAGCGUAUGGAGCUUUGUCACACGCUUUAGUGGCCCAGCCGGCAUUCUGUCGAUUAAAUCACAAAAAAAAACUAAGAUUUAACCUCGGAUCAGGUAAGGAUACCCGCGGAACUUA
This 259-nucleotide unclassified non-coding RNA is filed under the name uncultured fungus. Its description in RNAcentral is "sequence contains 5.8S rRNA gene". The stretch from base 1 to 53 matches the Rfam family "5.8S ribosomal RNA", at positions 102 to 154 of the family's 154-position model. The record is from RNAcentral. Lineage: Eukaryota; Fungi.